Gopherus flavomarginatus (Mexican gopher tortoise) is the source of this 428-nucleotide long non-coding RNA. RefSeq lists it as uncharacterized. The transcript is spliced from 3 exons. NCBI's taxonomy places the organism in Eukaryota, Metazoa, Chordata, Testudines, Testudinidae. The record is from RefSeq and is a predicted model, not a curated record.
GCUCGCCCCGCUUCUGCUCCAGCAGCCGCCUGCGGCCGCUCUCGGCCUCCGACUCCAGCGCGUCGAACACGGCGGCGCCCACCAGCAGUUACUCUCCAAAAACACAGCAGCAUCAGGAUGUCAGUCACUGUGAUCUCACUGAAGUGCGGACACAAUGGAAUAACUGGUUCCUGCCUCGGGUCAACAGCAGCUUCCCAUUCCCUUCUUAUAAGCUGGCACUGUACAAGGCAUCAUUCAGAAUUCCGCAGUCAUUAUCCUAAUAGAGCACCAGCCUCCUGAAACUUUAAAAGGCAAGUCUGCUGUCAGCAGCUGCACAAUCUUGGAGGAGAGAUGGAGAAGACCUAAGGCUUGUCUGCCCAGUAAGAUACAUAACCUACUGUCACUGAGCCUGGGGCAUGCUGCCACCCACAUAGUCAUCACCAACUAAC